This 434-nucleotide ribosomal RNA is filed under the name uncultured bacterium. RNAcentral describes it as "bacterial SSU rRNA". It matches the Rfam family "Bacterial small subunit ribosomal RNA", at positions 80 to 507 of the family's 1533-position model. The record is from RNAcentral.
CAACCGUGGCGGCGAGCGGCGAACGGGUGAAGUAAUACAUCGGAACGUCGCCCAGACGGUGGGGAUAACUACUCGAAAGAGUGGCUAAUACCCGCAUACGAUCUAAGGAUGAAAGCGGGGAUCGCAAGACCUCGCGCGUUUGGAGCGGCCGAUGGCAGAUUAGGUAGUUGGUGGGGUAAAAGGCUUACCAAGCCCGCGAUCUGUAGCUGGUCUGAGAGGAUGAUCAGCCACACUGGGACUGAGACACGGCCCAGACUCCUACGGGAGGCAGCAGUGGGGAAUUUUGGACAAUGGGCGAAAGCCUGAUCCAGCCAUUCCGCGUGCAGGAUGAAGGCCCUCGGGUUGUAAACUGCUUUUGUACAGAACGAAAAAGCUCUUUCUAAUACAGAGAGUCCAUGACGGUACUGUAAGAAUAAGCACCGGCUAACUACGUG